UAUUAGUGGUGAUAUAGUGUAUGUCUGGACACAACUGGCAACUGCUACAGUCGGAACAUCUGGGGGCCUCAUUAGGUAACAAAAAAAACAGCCUGGACCUUGAGUGUCUAUUAUAGUUUAGAGAAAUACAAGCACUCCCCUGAAGUGUGGCGAUAAGAAGACAAUCCUGCAAACAGGGGACUCUGAGAUAAGCAAAUGACUAUAUACUCUAGUACAUAGUAAUAUUACUGCACAGUUUAUUUGUAUUUAUUUUAUCAGCUGCGAGGCUGGGCAAAAGGUUGUUUAUGGCAUUUUAAUGAUCUUUCUAUGUCACAGUUAUUGACUGAUGGUGUAGUGUUUCACUCAUCUGUCUUCAGUUCUGGCAGCGUGGAUUCAGCUCCCACACAAUGAUUAAAUAUUAUUAUUUUGAGACUCCCGUACUCCUGCCUUACCUCCCUGCUUCCCUGGAAUUGGGUCCACCAUGUUCUUCUUGCCUUGCGUUCCUCGCCUUCGCCCUAACCACGUACGUGACAGCAUCACUGCUCAGACUAAAGGUUUCGCGAAUGGUAUGAUCAUCGUCUUCGUCGUCUGUUCUCACCGCAGAAGUUGCAGACUGGGGACCAAUGACAGAACACGCUGCUCGAUUUGACCAUUGAACAGAUGCCACUCACAGACAUUUGAUGUUUCUGAAUGUUGCAAAGUAAAAA
This is a long non-coding RNA of Phyllopteryx taeniolatus (common seadragon), 686 nucleotides long. RefSeq lists it as uncharacterized. The transcript is spliced from 3 exons. NCBI's taxonomy places the organism in Eukaryota, Metazoa, Chordata, Actinopteri, Syngnathiformes, Syngnathidae. The record is from RefSeq and is a predicted model, not a curated record.